Molecule: long non-coding RNA, 4260 nt
Organism: Octopus bimaculoides (California two-spot octopus)
Lineage: Eukaryota; Metazoa; Mollusca; Cephalopoda; Octopoda; Octopodidae
Source: RefSeq, a predicted model, not a curated record
GUUGCUGUGAAUUAUAUCAGCUGGUAUACUUUCCAGACAAGUGUCUUCUUGGAAAUAGAAUUAUUGUAUUGUGACUGACAGAAUAUGAAGCACUGAUAUUUAGUGUGAUCAUCUUCUCUCUUAUAGCCUACUGAUGUGGCAAUACCAUAGCUGUUUUCUGCUGCUAAUGAUGAAUAUAUGCUCUGGAGUGCCACCUAUUUUCAUGCUAGCAGACUGAGCCUGGAAGACUAUGAUAAAUUAGAGGAGACUUGUGAACUUCUACUUGCGCACUAAAUCUAUUGCUGUACUCUUUGCUAAAUCUCACCUUACUGACAGCAUCCCUGUAUAUGGCUUGAAUGACUUUCACUGGCCAUUCAUCUAUUCUUAGCUAGCCAAUGACAACCAGAUCAUGAAGGAAGGGACCCUGUUGAAGACUUUUACCAGGAUGAGGAAAGCCAAGUAUAGUGGUUUACUUUUGGUCAAAUAUUUUUCCUGAAAUUGUCUUACAAGACAGAGGGUAUUGGUAUUACCACUCAACUGAAUCACCAACUCCCAGAUAAUCAAACAUUCAAGGCCAAAUACCGUCUUGUCACUGUAGAUUGCCUGUCUUUAAUGUCACUGUCAUGUAGCUCCGAACAAAUGGAGGUAAGAUACAGAAGUGAGAACUUUUUUGUUUUGCAGCAUAUAAGGCAACUUCACUAAUGCUGGUGCCAUAAUAAAAUACACCCAGUAUAUUCUAUAAAGUGGUAGGUAAAUAAGCGGUGACAAUGUAGAUUUGAGCAGUCCCUUUACUCGUCUUGUUGAGAACACGAUAAACUAUCUAAUGCUGGGGUCACAACAAAUUACACAAUAAACAGUAUGCUCUGUAAAAUGGUUAGCUUCAAGAAAAGUAACCAGUCAUAGAAACCAUGCUAAAAUAAAAUGAACGAGCAGAAUAUUCUCCCCAGGCCCGGCUAGGAGAAGAGUAAUUCAAAGUAAGAAAUGGUUUGGACUGUAAUGACCUGUUCAAUCAAUGCUUGCAUGGAAAGUGGAUGCGAAAUGAUGAUAAUUCCAUGUUGUAUUGUUUUUCCUUCUUUUAUUCCAUAAUUCAAUAUCAUCAUGGUAAUGUCUAUUUUUCCAUGCUUGCAUGGGUCAGCUGAUUCUGCAAAAACCCCAUCACUUGAUAAUUUGCUUUUGUAAUGUCCUCUCAUUUGUAGGACUUGUGGCAAGUAAAAAUAUUAUUGUUAUUAUUAUUAUUAUCAUUUUGAACAAUGAGAUAUUUUAGAAAAAUUCUUCUUCUUCUUCUUCUUCCCCCCCAUCUUCCUCUUCUUUUUCCUCCUCCUCCUCUUAUUCCUCCUCCUCCUCCUCUUCUUCUUCUUCUUCUUCUUCUCCACCUCCUCCUCCUCUUCUUCUUCUUCCUCCUCUUCUUCUUCUUCUUCUUCUUCUUCUUCUUCUUCUUCUUCUUCUUCUUCUUCUUAUUAUUAUUAUUAUUAACAACAACAACAAUAAUGAUGAUAAUAGUUUCAGCAUCUAUUUCUUCACACUAGCAUGAAAUGCUUUAUAGGUUGACUAGCUGGCUAGCUGGCUGAUUGGCAAAUUGCAUUAGGCAAGAGCAAAUAUGAAAUCCAUAAAUGUCUGAUAUAUUUUUACAGAUUUGAUUUAUGUAGCGAGUGAUGUUAAUAUAAUAAUUAUGUUGUAAAUAUGAAUAACAGAGCAUUAUAGUGAAGCAGACUGCUCUCUCUCUCUGCACACAAGCAGAAAGGAUUGAGCACAUUCAGAGAUUCUGAACAGAGUACUAGAAAGAGCAGAGAGGGUAAGACCCUAUUCAAGUUGACAGAAUAUAGAUUGAAAAAUAAUUGCAGUGAUAAUGAUGAUGAUAAAACUAUUACUGCAACUACAUGGAGAUGUUCGUGAUGAUAACACUACUACUACAACCACAUGAUUAUGUUCUUGAUGAUGCUAGUAUGAUUACAGCUACAUGGUAAUGAUGAUGAUAAUAGUAUAGCCAAAUGGUAAUAAUAAUAUUUUAGGAUUUGCAGAGGAAGCAGGAAAAAAAAUAAUGAAAAAAAAAAAAAUACCCAAGUGAUUGAUAUGCAUUUAAAAAGUUAGCUCAUUGAUUAGUGAACUGGUAAUGACUAACCUGCCAACAUUCUGUGUCCUUUUGUCUCUUCUAUUGCUACUAAAAUAGUUUUUGUUCACUGAUAAACUAGAAAACUUUACCAGCAAUGUCCAAGUCCCUCCUUAUUCACCUAACUCCUCUCUUCAACCCUACUGUAUUUUAUUUCUCAAACCCAACUCUAAGCACAAUAUUCUCCAUUUCUUUCUUCAGAUAACUAAAACUCUUUGGUGCAUCCUCUUAGUUCCUAUUUUCCUUAGAGUAAUCAACCCUCAGAAGUUCAAAAUUAAACAUUAAGUGCAUCAACCUUAUUUUGAAGAGACAGUGGGCAGUCAUCAUCAUCAUCAUCAUCAUCAUUCACUGUCCCCACUUUCCAUGCUGGCAUGGGUUGGACAGUUUGACCGAGGGCUGGCAAGCCAGAAGGCUCCAAUCUGAUCUGGUAAAGUUUCUACAGCUGGAUGCCCUUCCUAACACCAACAAGUGUCCCUAAUUAUUAAAUUAUGUUACUUGACAUGGAAAUACAGGCUUAUUUAAGAGAUUAAAUAGGACAAGGUUGUCCUAUCAGGUAAAAGUAAAUCCAAAUAGCAUAAAACAGUAUUUCUACAGGAUUAUUUAGGUGAGAUUACUUACUUGUCCAUCAUAAACAAAACAAUUAUAAUUCUUACUUUCUUAUUGCUUAACUUCAGGAUAGUCCUGGUUCAGCAAACCUAUGAUGAGAAGCAACUCAAACAUAACAGUGAUGUUUUUCUUUAUUCACCUCUGUAUUAUGUAAUGUGCCCUCCAUUACUGUUGUUCUUGAGCUUAAGAUCAGUCCUUGUCCACCAGAUCAAUGAUAUUCUAUUUAUGACCAUCCUGCCUUUAUAUUCAAGUAAUGUAUCAAGGACUAUAUUAUCUAAUGAGUCUUUUCUUCUUAUUGUUUAGUCCAAGGUCAGCUCUAAUCCAGUAGAAUUAAUAAUAAAAGAUGUUCCUACUGGGAAUAUUUUUAUUUUAUUCAGACAUAAUGUAUCUAUGACUACACUAUGAAAUAUGACUUUCUAAUUUUAAACAGUAGGCAGGGUGUCAUUUGAAAGAAAUUUGGCAGCUAUUUCUAACAGAUUAAGCUAGCUGUAACUUCACAGAGGCUGCUUUGUUGUUUAUGUUGAUGCUGAAGUAAAAGAUAUUAACAACUGUAGUUGAUUCUCUGAUGGGAUGUAAAAUAAGUUCAAUUGUAAUUGGCUGCUGAAGUUUCAUCUAUAACAAUUACAAACACAGUUUAGGUUUCUGAGAAGUAGUUGAAAUGCUGUCUAAACCAGCUAAUUUAUUGAAAUAUAGAAGAACAUGUUUAGAUGAUUUUUUUUUCAUUUUUUUACUUAAUAUAUUCUUGAGUCUGGAAGCUGUUAUAGUGUUGUAGGCAGUUUUAUACAAUUUUCAUGAUGACUUAGUUUUUGUUUUCAUUAGAUACAUACAUUGUUUUUCUGCUAUGUAUACAAACAUCCUAAGCCACAUUUAAACAAAGAUUACCUGAUUAAUUAGAAACUCAUUUACCAACAAAUUAAAACUUCUAACCCACAGAUGUAUUGUCUGUUCUCUGCCUAUUCUAUCGCAACAGCUCCAGCUUCAUUGAAUUAGCUGCUUACAUACCACUUUCAUUCAGAUCUACAAGCCUCUCCACCCCAUGUUAAAUGUCAAAUCCUGCAUUAAUCACUUCCAAUAAUCAGAUUUUCAACCUUCUGAAAUUUCCAUCUUCGUAUGUUCAAACGGAACAUCAACCAAAUCAAUUGCACCAGCCUGAGAAUGUUACUGAGGGGUAUUGGAAUGCCCCUUCCUCCUCCUAAACCAUUAAGCAAAAAGUUAUACCCAUUUUCUUAUAAUUGGAUAGUUUAAAUUCUUAUAAUUGCAUGGUUUGAAAUUUGCUAUUUUGACGAAAUGUUAGAGUAAUCAGUUGAGGUUGUGAAUCUUCAAAAGUCUAGAUAACCAUUAAAUCCAUAUUGCUGAAUUUCUCAACAACAUAAACCGUUGUAAGCAAAUGAAUGUGCCUAACUAAUGAAUUCCAUAUAAUUACGUGAAUGAUAGUUGGAGCCUAUAACCUUGUGGUGUACAGUACAACAUCAUCAGUAUGCCUGAAAGCAUACUUGAAGAGAUAUAUUUAUCAUAAGAAUAGUUUUUGUGUAAAAUACAAAAUACUCUGAUAUAACUUUACCCCUUUC